UAGUCCACGCCCUAAACGAUGUCAACUAGACGUUGGGUUCAUUAAGGAACUUAGUGUCGAAGCUAACGCGUUAAGUUGACCGCCUGGGGAGUACGGCCGCAAGGUUGAAACUCAAAUGAAUUGACGGGGGCCCGCACAAGCGGUGGAGCAUGUGGUUUAAUUCGAAGCAACGCGAAGAACCUUACCUACUCUUGAAAUCCUGCGAACUUGCUAGAGAUAGCUUGGUGCCUUCGGGAACGCGGUGACAGGUGCUGCAUGGCUGUCGUCAGCUCGUGUUGUGAAAUGUUGGGUUAAGUCCCGUAACGAGCGCAACCCCUAUCCUUAGUUGCCAGCGCGUAAUGGCGGGGACUCUAAGGAGACUGCCGGUGACAAACCGGAGGAAGGCGGGGAUGACGUCAAGUCAUCAUGGCCCUUACGAGUAGGGCUACACACGUGCUACAAUGGCGCAUACAGACGGUUGCGAAGUCGCGAGAUGGAGCUAAUCUGAGAAAGUGCGUUGUAGUCCGGAUUGG
This 512-nucleotide ribosomal RNA is filed under the name uncultured bacterium. RNAcentral's name for it is "bacterial SSU rRNA". It matches the Rfam family "Bacterial small subunit ribosomal RNA", at positions 791 to 1301 of the family's 1533-position model. The record is from RNAcentral.